This 665-nucleotide long non-coding RNA is filed under the name Zonotrichia albicollis (white-throated sparrow). RNAcentral's name for it is "lncRNA (ENSZALG00000001000.1)". The record is from RNAcentral. Lineage: Eukaryota; Metazoa; Chordata; Aves; Passeriformes; Passerellidae.
ACUUUCCUUCAUUUUUUCUCCCCAUUUUUCCUCCACUUUCUUCCCAAUUUUCCCAUUUUUUUCCUCAUUUCUCUCCCCAAUUUUCCCUCAUUUUUCUACAAUUUUUCCUCCACCUUUCCCCCAUUUUUCCUGAUUUUUUCUCCCCAUUUUUUCUCCCAUUUCUUGCCCAUUUCUCCCCAUUUCCUUCCCCAUUUUUUCCCACAUUUCUCUUCCAUUUCCCCCAUUUUUUCUCAAUUUCUCUCCCCAUUUUUUCCUCAUUCUCCUCCCACUUUUCCCUCAUAUUCCUACCCUUUUUUCCAUUUCCUUCCCAAUUUUCCUCACGUUUUCUCCCCAAUUUUCCCACAAUUUUUUCUCAAUUUCUCCCACAUUUUUCCCCCUUUUUCCUCAUUUCUCUCCCCAAUUUUCACCACAAUUUUCCCUCAUUUUUACCCCAAUUUUCACACUUUCUUCUCUCUUUUUUUCCCCAAUUUUUUCCCCAAUUUUCGCCUCAUUCUCUCCCCAUUUCUCCCCUCCCUUGAGCCCAUUUUGGGUUCAAUUCCUGCAUUUUUGGCUCACUCACCCCAUGGAAGUUUCUCCCCAUUUCUCCCACACUUUCCCCCAUUUUCUCUCUAAUUUUCCUCCAUUUGCUCCCCAUUUUUUAUUAUUUUCCCCCAUUUUUUUCCCCC